Molecule: transfer RNA, 72 nt
Organism: Camelus ferus (Wild Bactrian camel)
Lineage: Eukaryota; Metazoa; Chordata; Mammalia; Artiodactyla; Camelidae
Rfam family: tRNA
About the family: Transfer RNA (tRNA) molecules are approximately 80 nucleotides in length. Their secondary structure includes four short double-helical elements and three loops (D, anti-codon, and T loops).
Source: Rfam
GAGGGUAGAGCCCAGUGGUAGAGCCCGUGCCUAGCACGCACAAGGUCCUGGGUUCAAUCCCCAGUACCUCCA